UCUGUGUAUUGAUUGGUUGGGCUUUCCAUC
RNAcentral lists this non-coding RNA (30 nucleotides) under Mus musculus (house mouse). Lineage: Eukaryota; Metazoa; Chordata; Mammalia; Rodentia; Muridae. The record is from RNAcentral.